GUGUUCUGAGCCCCCACCCAUCCUCAGAGGUGCCCUCGAGGGAGAAAUAAUCCCCUCAUUUUGUUGAUGAGGAAACUGAGGCUCAAUGGGGUGAGGGGCUAGGAUUUGAACUCCUUUCCAUCUGGCCUCCAUGCCAAGCCCUUCCCAGGGCUGAUUUGUGUCUCCUCUCCCCAGCUCAUGUGUUGCAGUCCUAACCCCCCCCCGGUGCCUCAGAAUGUAACUGUAUUUGGAGAUAGGGUUUUAAAAGAGGUAAUUAAGUUAAAGUGAGGUUAUUAGAGUGGACCCUAAUCCAAUAGACUGAUAUCCUUAUAAGAAGAAGAGAUUAGGACGCAGACACGCACAGAGGAAAGAGCAGGUGAAGGGAGAAGACGGCCAUCUAUGGGUCAAGAAGAGAGGCCUCGAAAGAAACUGAUUCUGAAGAUACCUGGAUCUUGGACUUCUUGCUGGUAGAACUGCAAGGAAGUAAAUUUUUGCUAUUUCAGUCAUUCUGUCUGUGGGUCUUUGUGAUGGCAGCCCUGGAAAGCCAACAUGCUAUCCUAUUAUGUCGCCUCCCAGCAAUUCCAGGUCUUAGAUAGUAAGGGGCACACUGCCCUGGUACUUCAAGGCCCGGACCUACCAUCUCAGAUUUAAGAUGACACAGGGCUCCCCUGCGUUGGAAGCUCAGCACAUCUGGGCCACGCACCACCUUCUGCCUUGCCUUGGGAAUGAGCUUCUAGUACACACAGAAUAGGUCUUAAGAGAAAAGACUGAGGUCCCUCGAAGAUGAAGAAAUCCUCAUGAAGAUGAAUCCAAAGGCGGAUUCAAUUCUAGCUGUCUUUGGACUCAAGACUGCAACAUCAACACUUCCCAGGGUUGUGUUUCUCUGGAGAAUCCUGAUUAAUGCACGAAAGGUCAGGAUAAGUCUACUCCAAGGUAAAAUCUUUCUCAUGAUAUUUAAGACUUGAAAGGGGCUUCAGGAGACUCUCUGCGACAGCAUCUAGGAGUGACUCCCAGCCUGCCACCCUACACA
RNAcentral lists this long non-coding RNA (1009 nucleotides) under Papio anubis (olive baboon). RNAcentral describes it as "lncRNA (ENSPANG00000043631.1)". Lineage: Eukaryota; Metazoa; Chordata; Mammalia; Primates; Cercopithecidae. The record is from RNAcentral.